Molecule: ribosomal RNA, 253 nt
Filed under: uncultured bacterium
Lineage: Bacteria
Description: partial 16S ribosomal RNA
Rfam family: Bacterial small subunit ribosomal RNA
Source: RNAcentral
UACGUAGGGGGCAAGCGUUGUCCGGAAUUAUUGGGCGUAAAGAGCGCGUAGGCGGUCCGAUAAGUCGGCUGUGAAAGUCCAGGGCUCAACCCUGGAAAGCCGGCCGAUACUGUCGGACUAGAGUCCGGAAGAGGCAAGUGGAACUCCUGGUGUAGCGGUGGAAUGCGCAGAUAUCAGGAAGAACACCAACGGCGAAGGCAGCUCGCUGGGACGGUACUGACGCUGAGACGCGAAAGCGUGGGGAGCGAACAGG